Molecule: ribosomal RNA, 429 nt
Filed under: Chloroflexota bacterium
Lineage: Bacteria; Bacillati; Chloroflexota
Description: Chloroflexi bacterium partial 16S ribosomal RNA
Rfam family: Bacterial small subunit ribosomal RNA
Source: RNAcentral
UGGGGAAUAUUGCACAAUGGGCGCAAGCCUGAUGCAGCCAUGCCGCGUGUGUGAAGAAGGCCUUCGGGUUGUAAAGCACUUUCAGCGGGGAGGAAGGCGAUAAGGUUAAUAACCUUGUCGAUUGACGUUACCCGCAGAAGAAGCACCGGCUAACUCCGUGCCAGCAGCCGCGGUAAUACGGAGGGUGCAAGCGUUAAUCGGAAUUACUGGGCGUAAAGCGCACGCAGGCGGUCUGUCAAGUCGGAUGUGAAAUCCCCGGGCUCAACCUGGGAACUGCAUUCGAAACUGGCAGGCUAGAGUCUUGUAGAGGGGGGUAGAAUUCCAGGUGUAGCGGUGAAAUGCGUAGAGUUCUGGAGGAAUACCGGUGGCGAAGGCGGCCCCCUGGACAAAGACUGACGCUCAGGUGCGAAAGCGUGUGGAGCAAACAGG